RNAcentral lists this ribosomal RNA (254 nucleotides) under uncultured bacterium. RNAcentral describes it as "partial 16S ribosomal RNA". It matches the Rfam family "Bacterial small subunit ribosomal RNA", at positions 524 to 776 of the family's 1533-position model. The record is from RNAcentral.
UACGGGGGGAGCAAGCGUUGUUCGGAUUUACUGGGCGUAAAGGGCGCGUAGGCGGUCGUGACAAGUCACUUGUGAAAUCUCCGGGCUUAACUCGGAACGGUCAAGUGAUACUGUCGGACUAGAGUACAGAAGGGGCAACUGGAAUUCUCGGUGUAGCGGUGAAAUGCGUAGAGAUCGGGCGGAACACCAGCGGCGAAGGCGGCAUCCUGGCCCGUACCUGACGCUGAGGCGCGAGAGCGUGGGGAGCAAACCGG